RNAcentral lists this ribosomal RNA (253 nucleotides) under Segatella copri DSM 18205. RNAcentral describes it as "Prevotella copri DSM 18205 partial 16S ribosomal RNA". It matches the Rfam family "Bacterial small subunit ribosomal RNA", at positions 524 to 776 of the family's 1533-position model. Lineage: Bacteria; Pseudomonadati; Bacteroidota; Bacteroidia; Bacteroidales; Prevotellaceae. The record is from RNAcentral.
UACGGAAGGUCCGGGUGUUAUCCGGAUUUAUUGGGUUUAAAGGGAGCGUAGGCCGGAGAUUAAGCGUGUUGUGAAAUGUAGACGCUCAACGUCUGCACUGCAGCGCGAACUGGUUUCCUUGAGUACGCACAAAGUGGGCGGAAUUCGUGGUGUAGCGGUGAAAUGCUUAGAUAUCACGAAGAACUCCGAUUGCGAAGGCAGCUCACUGGAGCGCAACUGACGCUGAAGCUCGAAAGUGCGGGUAUCGAACAGG